GUGGGAAUAGCUCAGUGGUAGAGCUCAUGCUUAGCGUGCACGAGGUUCUGAGUUCAAUUCCCAGGACCUCCA
RNAcentral lists this transfer RNA (72 nucleotides) under Camelus bactrianus (Bactrian camel). It matches the Rfam family "tRNA". From Rfam's summary of the family: Transfer RNA (tRNA) molecules are approximately 80 nucleotides in length. RNAcentral also lists the same sequence under 2 other names. The record is from Rfam by way of RNAcentral. Lineage: Eukaryota; Metazoa; Chordata; Mammalia; Artiodactyla; Camelidae.